UUAAGCGACUAAGCGUACACGGUGGAUGCCCUGGCAGUCAGAGGCGAUGAAGGACGUGCUAAUCUGCGAUAAGCGUCGGUAAGGUGAUAUGAACCGUUAUAACCGGCGAUUUCCGAAUGGGGAAACCCAGUGUGAUUCGUCACACUAUCAUUAACUGAAUCCAUAGGUUAAUGAGGCGAACCGGGGGAACUGAAACAUCUAAGUACCCCGAGGAAAAGAAAUCAACCGAGAUUCCCCCAGUAGCGGCGAGCGAACGGGGAGCAGCCCAGAGCCUGAAUCAGUGUGUGUGUUAGUGGAAGCGUCUGGAAAGGCGCGCGAUACAGGGUGACAGCCCCGUACACAAAAAUGCACAUGCUGUGAGCUCGAUGAGUAGGGCGGGACACGUGGUAUCCUGUCUGAAUAUGGGGGGACCAUCCUCCAAGGCUAAAUACUCCUGACUGACCGAUAGUGAACCAGUACCGUGAGGGAAAGGCGAAAAGAACCCCGGCGAGGGGAGUGAAAAAGAACCUGAAACCGUGUACGUACAAGCAGUGGGAGCACGCUUCGGCGUGUGACUGCGUACCUUUUGUAUAAUGGGUCAGCGACUUAUAUUCUGUAGCAAGGUUAACCGAAUAGGGGAGCCGAAGGGAAACCGAGUCUUAACUGGGCGUUAAGUUGCAGGGUAUAGACCCGAAACCCGGUGAUCUAGCCAUGGGCAGGUUGAAGGUUGGGUAACACUAACUGGAGGACCGAACCGACUAAUGUUGAAAAAUUAGCGGAUGACUUGUGGCUGGGGGUGAAAGGCCAAUCAAACCGGGAGAUAGCUGGUUCUCCCCGAAAGCUAUUUAGGUAGCGCCUCGUGAAUUCAUCUCCGGGGGUAGAGCACUGUUUCGGCAAGGGGGUCAUCCCGACUUACCAACCCGAUGCAAACUGCGAAUACCGGAGAAUGUUAUCACGGGAGACACACGGCGGGUGCUAACGUCCGUCGUGAAGAGGGAAACAACCCAGACCGCCAGCUAAGGUCCCAAAGUCAUGGUUAAGUGGGAAACGAUGUGGGAAGGCCCAGACAGCCAGGAUGUUGGCUUAGAAGCAGCCAUCAUUUAAAGAAAGCGUAAUAGCUCACUGGUCGAGUCGGCCUGCGCGGAAGAUGUAACGGGGCUAAACCAUGCACCGAAGCUGCGGCAGCGACACUAUGUGUUGUUGGGUAGGGGAGCGUUCUGUAAGCCUGUGAAGGUGUACUGUGAGGUAUGCUGGAGGUAUCAGAAGUGCGAAUGCUGACAUAAGUAACGAUAAAGCGGGUGAAAAGCCCGCUCGCCGGAAGACCAAGGGUUCCUGUCCAACGUUAAUCGGGGCAGGGUGAGUCGACCCCUAAGGCGAGGCCGAAAGGCGUAGUCGAUGGGAAACAGGUUAAUAUUCCUGUACUUGGUGUUACUGCGAAGGGGGGACGGAGAAGGCUAUGUUGGCCGGGCGACGGUUGUCCCGGUUUAAGCGUGUAGGCUGGUUUUCCAGGCAAAUCCGGAAAAUCAAGGCUGAGGCGUGAUGACGAGGCACUACGGUGCUGAAGCAACAAAUGCCCUGCUUCCAGGAAAAGCCUCUAAGCAUCAGGUAACAUCAAAUCGUACCCCAAACCGACACAGGUGGUCAGGUAGAGAAUACCAAGGCGCUUGAGAGAACUCGGGUGAAGGAACUAGGCAAAAUGGUGCCGUAACUUCGGGAGAAGGCACGCUGAUAUGUAGGUGAAGCGACUUGCUCGUGGAGCUGAAAUCAGUCGAAGAUACCAGCUGGCUGCAACUGUUUAUUAAAAACACAGCACUGUGCAAACACGAAAGUGGACGUAUACGGUGUGACGCCUGCCCGGUGCCGGAAGGUUAAUUGAUGGGGUUAGCGGUAACGCGAAGCUCUUGAUCGAAGCCCCGGUAAACGGCGGCCGUAACUAUAACGGUCCUAAGGUAGCGAAAUUCCUUGUCGGGUAAGUUCCGACCUGCACGAAUGGCGUAAUGAUGGCCAGGCUGUCUCCACCCGAGACUCAGUGAAAUUGAACUCGCUGUGAAGAUGCAGUGUACCCGCGGCAAGACGGAAAGACCCCGUGAACCUUUACUAUAGCUUGACACUGAACAUUGAGCCUUGAUGUGUAGGAUAGGUGGGAGGCUUUGAAGUGUGGACGCCAGUCUGCAUGGAGCCGACCUUGAAAUACCACCCUUUAAUGUUUGAUGUUCUAACGUUGACCCGUGAUCCGGGUUGCGGACAGUGUCUGGUGGGUAGUUUGACUGGGGCGGUCUCCUCCUAAAGAGUAACGGAGGAGCACGAAGGUUGGCUAAUCCUGGUCGGACAUCAGGAGGUUAGUGCAAUGGCAUAAGCCAGCUUGACUGCGAGCGUGACGGCGCGAGCAGGUGCGAAAGCAGGUCAUAGUGAUCCGGUGGUUCUGAAUGGAAGGGCCAUCGCUCAACGGAUAAAAGGUACUCCGGGGAUAACAGGCUGAUACCGCCCAAGAGUUCAUAUCGACGGCGGUGUUUGGCACCUCGAUGUCGGCUCAUCACAUCCUGGGGCUGAAGUAGGUCCCAAGGGUAUGGCUGUUCGCCAUUUAAAGUGGUACGCGAGCUGGGUUUAGAACGUCGUGAGACAGUUCGGUCCCUAUCUGCCGUGGGCGCUGGAGAACUGAGGGGGGCUGCUCCUAGUACGAGAGGACCGGAGUGGACGCAUCACUGGUGUUCGGGUUGUCAUGCCAAUGGCACUGCCCGGUAGCUAAAUGCGGAAGAGAUAAGUGCUGAAAGCAUCUAAGCACGAAACUUGCCCCGAGAUGAGUUCUCCCUGACUCCCUGAGAGUCCUGAAGGAACGUUGAAGACGACGACGUUGAUAGGCCGGGUGUGUAAGCGCAGCGAUGCGUUGAGCUAACCGGUACUAAUGAACCGUGAGGCUUAACCU
Molecule: ribosomal RNA, 2902 nt
Filed under: Escherichia coli
Lineage: Bacteria; Pseudomonadati; Pseudomonadota; Gammaproteobacteria; Enterobacterales; Enterobacteriaceae
Description: 23S ribosomal RNA
Rfam family: Bacterial large subunit ribosomal RNA
Source: RNAcentral